CGCAUCUUGCGCCCCUUGGCAUUCCGAGGGGCACGCCUGUUUGAGCGUCGUGAACUACCAUCGACCCUCGGCUUUUGUAAUGAAGGCCUCGGGGCGGAUUUGGACGUUGCGGGGGGCCCUUAGGGGCGUCCGCUCGUCUUGAAAUGCAUCAGUCGGACUUCGACGCCUCGGUCUAAUGGCGGCGUGAUAAGGCUUCUCUUGCCGUAAUCGUCGCCUACACGGUCGGGGGGGAGGGGAGGCCGGCUUCUAACCGUCCUCGGAGGACAACAACUUGCGAUCUGACCUCAAAUCAGGCGGGACUACCCGCCGAACUUAA
RNAcentral lists this unclassified non-coding RNA (316 nucleotides) under Ramaria botrytis. RNAcentral describes it as "partial contains 5.8S ribosomal RNA, internal transcribed spacer 2, and large subunit ribosomal RNA". The record is from RNAcentral. Lineage: Eukaryota; Fungi; Basidiomycota; Agaricomycetes; Gomphales; Gomphaceae.